AGUGAACGCUGGCGGUAGGCCUAACACAUGCAAGUCGAACGGCAGCACAGUAAGAGCUUGCUCUUACGGGUGGCGAGUGGCGGACGGGUGAGGAAUACAUCGGAAUCUACUUUUUCGUGGGGGAUAACGUAGGGAAACUUACGCUAAUACCGCAUACGACCUACGGGUGAAAGCAGGGGAUCUUCGGACCUUGCGCGAUUGAAUGAGCCGAUGUCGGAUUAGCUAGUUGGCGGGGUAAAGGCCCACCAAGGCGGCGAUCCGUAGCUGGUCUGAGAGGAUGAUCAGCCACACUGGAACUGAGACACGGUCCAGACUCCUACGGGAGGCAGCAGUGGGGAAUAUUGGACAAUGGGCGCAAGCCUGAUCCAGCCAUACCGCGUGGGUGAAGAAGGCCUUCGGGUUGUAAAGCCCUUUUGUUGGGAAAGAAAUCCAGCCGGCUAAUACCUGGUUGGGAUGACGGUACCCAAAGAAUAAGCACCGGCUAACUUCGUG
RNAcentral lists this ribosomal RNA (492 nucleotides) under uncultured bacterium. Its description in RNAcentral is "partial 16S ribosomal RNA". It matches the Rfam family "Bacterial small subunit ribosomal RNA", at positions 29 to 507 of the family's 1533-position model. The record is from RNAcentral.